Bubalus bubalis (water buffalo) is the source of this 1250-nucleotide long non-coding RNA. RefSeq lists it as uncharacterized. NCBI's taxonomy places the organism in Eukaryota, Metazoa, Chordata, Mammalia, Artiodactyla, Bovidae. The transcript is spliced from 3 exons. The record is from RefSeq and is a predicted model, not a curated record.
GUGCUGCCUGGAUGCCAUUUCUUCCAGAGGUGCAUCAUGAGAAUCAGGACCUCCCUGUUCUUCGUUGUAUUUUUCCAAUGAGGCCCCCCCGGGGCCUUCAGUCUGGUCCCUGUGGCCACAGUCCUAUCUUAGGGGGAGCAGAAGUUCUCACGGGGGCAAACAAGGGAGACGGGAUGCUGAGUGAGCAGUGCAGACGCACAGCUUACUCACUCAGCCCCACAGACCCCGUGGGGCUAUGCAGUUUCCUGCCUCAGGGCCUUUGCAUCUGCAGUUCCCCUGACCAGAGUGCCCUUCUCCUUCAUCACCAGGUGCGACUGGGUGACAGGUGGCCUGUGCUUAGAGGCCAUGCUUUUAGCCCCACCAUGGUCACUCUGGAAGGAGAUCUAAGCAGAGGGAUGGCAGGAGCAAAGCAUGGUCUCAUGAAAGAGGGGACUGUGGCCAAUGGGCAGGAUGUUUAGGGUUUCUGGAGACACGAGGAAACUUCACUGUUUCCCUUGUUUUGCAGACAACAGGCACAAAGAAGUGAAAUAAUUUGCUCAAGAUCACUUUUGAGUGAGGAAGCUGGAAUCUGAGCCUGGGGUGCAGGGGUGUGUGGGCGUCUGUCUCCAGUGCCACACCCUGAACCCUCUUAACUAGCCUCUGGGCAGAGGCUCAAGAGGUUUGCUAGAUGGGAAGAGGAUGAAAGCCUUGAUGGGAUUCCGGCCAGUGGCCCCUCUCACUGCUCACCAGCUGCGCAUCUUUGCAUAUCUUGCUCAGCUCACCUGCCUCACCUGUCAGUGUGGCGCUGAGAACUUUCCCUGUGGAGGUGUUAAAACAGCCCUGGCAGCUUGAACAGCCUGCGAUUCAAGGUUCCUCGUCGGGUAAGAGCCGGGACGUCACCGAUACUCUUAAGCCCGAGUUCCUUCCAUCACAGCAGCUGCUGGUUGACUUUCAAAAGGCUCAGAGGUCUACGCCCUGGAGGUGAAGCUUCCAGUGUCAAGGUCAAGCAGCGAGGAAGGGGCGGAAGGCUGGAGGCGAGAUCUGAGCUCAGGUGUCUUCGUGCGCAUAUUUUGUUUGGGGCACCAGAUCUGCUAAGUGCUCUUCGCAGUCAUUAUCCAGUCCAGCGUUGCUCCCCCUGUGGCCCCGGGCAUCCAGCCUAGGUCACGACUGCGCUGUCCCGUGUAAUAGCCACGACCCACAGUGUCCUUGACACUUGGAGUUGAGAAGCGCUGUGAAUGUGAAACACACACCCGAUUUCGAGGACUUAGUAC